RNAcentral lists this transfer RNA (72 nucleotides) under Orchesella cincta. It matches the Rfam family "tRNA". From Rfam's summary of the family: Transfer RNA (tRNA) molecules are approximately 80 nucleotides in length. Their secondary structure includes four short double-helical elements and three loops (D, anti-codon, and T loops). Lineage: Eukaryota; Metazoa; Arthropoda; Collembola; Entomobryomorpha; Orchesellidae. The record is from Rfam by way of RNAcentral.
GGCUCAAUGGUCUAGGGUAUUGAUUCUCGCUUUGGGUGCGAGAGGUCCCGGGUUCAAAUCCCGGUUGAGCCC